UAAAAUAUCAUUCUCUCAGACUCAUAAUCUGGAGGUCCUAGGUUCAAGCCCUAGCUGGUCCA
Molecule: transfer RNA, 62 nt
Filed under: Caudoviricetes sp.
Lineage: Duplodnaviria; Heunggongvirae; Uroviricota; Caudoviricetes
Description: tRNA-Met
Rfam family: tRNA
About the family: Transfer RNA (tRNA) molecules are approximately 80 nucleotides in length. Their secondary structure includes four short double-helical elements and three loops (D, anti-codon, and T loops). Further hydrogen bonds mediate the characteristic L-shaped molecular structure. tRNAs have two regions of fundamental functional importance: the anti-codon, which is responsible for specific mRNA codon recognition, and the 3' end, to which the tRNAs corresponding amino acid is attached (by aminoacyl-tRNA synthetases). tRNAs cope with the degeneracy of the genetic code in two manners: having more than one tRNA (with a specific anti-codon) for a particular amino acid; and 'wobble' base-pairing, i.e. permitting non-standard base-pairing at the 3rd anti-codon position.
Source: RNAcentral